UUUUUUUUUGCAAAUAAGAAAAAAUAUUUUAAAAAAUAGAAAUAAGGUAAGUACCUGCUCCAUUCCGUUUGAUUUUCUGGGUUUUCACAUGAGCCACAUAAACGUGAUAUCACCUGUGAUUCUAAAGGUCCAAGUGUUCAGAAAUAGAUUAUGAUUACGGCUCACAUGUUUAACAAAAAUUUGAAAGGCAGAUUUUGGAAAGGUAAAGAUCAAAUAAUCUCCUUCCGCCUCGGCCUCCCAAAGUGCUGGGAUUAUAGGCGUGAGCCACCACGCCCAGGAAUUUCUUUUUUUUUUUAAAACUUAACUUGGUGCUCUUGAGAUGGAGUCUUGCUAUGUUGCCCAGGCUGGAUUCACACUCCUGAGUUCAAGCAAUCCUCCCACCUCAGCCUCCCAAGUAGCUUGGAUAACAGGCAUACACCACUGUGCCUGGCCCAGCUGCUGUUUUUUCUUUUUCAGUAACCAGAAUCCAAUCAAGGUUCACACAUUUCAUUUCAUUAUUAUGUCAAGACAUGCUUUUCUGUUGUUGUUUUCGACACAGGAUCUCACUCUGUUAACCAGGCUGGAGCACAGGGGCGCUAUCAUAGCUCACUGCAGCCUCAACCUCCUGGGCUCAAACAAUCCUCCCUCUUCAGCCUCCCAAGCAUCUGGGACUAUAUGUUCACACAUCCAUACCAGGCUUAUUUUUAAGAUUUUUCUUUUUGUGAAGAUGGGACUUUGUUAUGUUGCCCACGCUGGUCUCAAAACUCCUGGUCUCAAGCCACCCUCCCGCCUCAGUCUCCCAAAGUACAGGGAUUACAGGUGUGAGCCACUGCACCUAGCCAAGACAUGUACUUUCACAGGGACAGCACACUGGUUAAGACCAGGGCUCCAGAAUUAGUCAUGGAGGUUUGAGUUCUGCAUCUUACCAAGCAUGUGAUAUUGGGCACUUAGCUUAAGUUCUUAGGAGCUGACUGGGCAAGGUGGCUCAUGCCUAUGGCCCCUAGCAUGUUGAGACACCAAGGCAGGAGGAUUGUUUGGUGCCUGGAGUACGGGACUAGCCUGGGCAACAUGGUGAGUCUCUGUCUCUACAAAAGAUUAGAACAUUAGCUAGGUGUGGUGACGUGCACCUGUAGUAGCAGCUACUUUGGAGGCUGAGGUGGGGAAGUUUUAGUUUCCCUUUUACAGAAAUUUUCUUUCCUUUUGUUUUGUUUUGUUUUGUUUUGAGAUAGAGUUUCACUCUUGUCGCUCAGGCUGGUGUGCAAUGGCGUGAUCUUGGCUCAGUGCAACCUCUGCCUCCCAGAUUCAAGUCAUUCUCCUGCCUCAGCCUCCCAAGUAGCUGAGAUUACAGGCGUCAGCCACCAUGCCUGGCUAAUUUUUGCAUUUUUAGUAGAGACAGCGUUUCACCAUGUUGGCCAGGCUGGUCUUGAACUCCUGACCUCAAGUGAUCUGCCCACCUCAGCCUCCCAAAGUGCUGGGAUUACAGGCGUGAGCCACUGUGCCCAGCCAGAGAUUUUCUAUUAAAUAAAAUAAUGCAUGUAAUGCUCUUUAUACAAUGUUGUCUCUACAAAGCACUAAGCAAAUGUUAGUCAUUUUUUGUCUAAAUCAGAUUUAUUAAGGCAUUAUUAACAUACAUAAUCAUUUUUGUUUGUUUUUUGUUUGUAAAGACAGAGUCUCACUAUAGGCUGGUCUUGAACUCCUGGUCUCAAGUGAUUCUUCUGCCUCGGCUUCCCAAAGUGCUGGGAUUACAGGCAAGAGCCACCAUGCCAGACCCAUUGUUUUAAUAAUAUAUUAAAAAUAUGUUCUCAGCCCAUAUAAUGCUCUAAUGACUGUUAAAGCAAUUUAUAUAAGCAUAGCCCUGUAAAUAAGUUAUAUUUAAAAAGUAUCUGACACUUCAUUUUUGUAUGACUAAAGAUCUUUUGGUGAAGAUUCUUGCGUUUAUUUACUUAUGAGGAGUAAGGAGAGGAGGAGAGAAGCUGUUUUCCUAGUGUUGGGGCUCAGAAGAUAAUAUCGGCUAGGCGCAGUGGCUCACACCUGUAAUCCCAGCACUUUGGGGGGCCAAGGCGGGCGAAUCACCUGACAUUAAGACUUCAAGACCAGCCUGGCCAACAGACGAAACCCCAUUUCUACUAAAAAUACAAAAAUUAGCCAGGCAUGGUGGCAUGCGCCUGUAAUCCCAGCUACUCAGGAGGCUGAGGCAGGAGAAUGGUUUGAACCCAGAAGCGGAGAUUGCACCACUGCACUCCAGCCUGGGCAACAGAGCAAGACACUUUUCAGAUUUAAAAGUUUAAAAAUGCAACUAGCCUGGCCAAAAUGGUGAAACCCCGUCUCUAUCAAAAAUACAAAAAUUAACCAGGUGUGGUGGUGCGUGCCUGUAGUUUCAGCCACUCAGGAGGCUGAGGCACAAGAAUUUCUUGAACCUGGGAGGCAGAGGUUGCAGUGAGCC
RNAcentral lists this long non-coding RNA (2422 nucleotides) under Homo sapiens (human). RNAcentral describes it as "non-protein coding lnc-TRIM75P-3:1". Lineage: Eukaryota; Metazoa; Chordata; Mammalia; Primates; Hominidae. The record is from RNAcentral.